Small nuclear RNA from Leptinotarsa decemlineata (Colorado potato beetle), 163 nucleotides. RefSeq annotates it as U4 spliceosomal RNA. The record is from RefSeq and is a predicted model, not a curated record. NCBI's taxonomy places the organism in Eukaryota, Metazoa, Arthropoda, Insecta, Coleoptera, Chrysomelidae.
UGCUUUGCGCAGAGGCGAUAUCGUAACCGAUGAAAUUUAUCCGAGGUGCGAUUAUUGCUAGUUGGAAACGAUUACCUUUUCAUUGGCGCUGAAUUUCUUUCUAGCGAGCAUUUUCUUGAGGUCUCAGAAUAUGAAACAGCACUUUCUUUGUAUUCAAAUGAGU